This 301-nucleotide ribosomal RNA is filed under the name uncultured bacterium. RNAcentral's name for it is "partial 16S ribosomal RNA". It matches the Rfam family "Bacterial small subunit ribosomal RNA", at positions 509 to 808 of the family's 1533-position model. The record is from RNAcentral.
CAGUCGCCGCGGUAAUACGUAGUGUGCAAGCGUUAAUCGGAAUUACUGGGCGUAAAGCGUGCGCAGGCGGUUAUAUAAGACAGAUGUGAAAUCCCCGGGCUCAACCUGGGAACUGCAUUUGUGACUGUAUAGCUAGAGUACGGCAGAGGGGGAUGGAAUUCCGCGUGUAGCAGUGAAAUGCGUAGAUAUGCGGAGGAACACCGAUGGCGAAGGCAAUCCCCUGGGCCUGUACUGACGCUCAUGCACGAAAGCGUGGGGAGCAAACAGGAUUAGAUACCCCAGUAGUCCCUGUCUCUUUACA